Molecule: ribosomal RNA, 607 nt
Filed under: uncultured bacterium
Lineage: Bacteria
Description: bacterial SSU rRNA
Rfam family: Bacterial small subunit ribosomal RNA
Source: RNAcentral
GUGUGAAAAACUCCGGUGGUACAAGAUGGACCCGCGUCUGAUUAGCUGGUUGGUGAGGUAACGGCCCACCAAGGCGACGAUCAGUAGCCGGCCUGAGAGGGUGAACGGCCACAUUGGGACUGAGACACGGCCCAAACUCCUACGGGAGGCAGCAGUGGGGAAUAUUGCACAAUGGGGGAAACCCUGAUGCAGCAACGCCGCGUGAGUGAAGAAGUAUUUCGGUAUGUAAAGCUCUAUCAGCAGGAAAGAAAAUGACGGUACCUGACUAAGAAGCCCCGGCUAACUACGUGCCAGCAGCCGCGGUAAUACGUAGGGGGCAAGCGUUAUCCGGAUUUACUGGGUGUAAAGGGAGCGUAGACGGUUUUGCAAGUCUGAAGUGAAAGCCCGGGGCUUAACCCCGGGACUGCUUUGGAAACUGUAGAACUAGAGUGCAGGAGAGGUAAGUGGAAUUCCUAGUGUAGCGGUGAAAUGCGUAGAUAUUAGGAGGAACACCAGUGGCGAAGGCGGCUUACUGGACUGUAACUGACGUUGAGGCUCGAAAGCGUGGGGAGCAAACAGGAUUAGAUACCCUGGUAGUCCACGCCGUAAACGAUGAUUACUAGGUGUU